Clupea harengus (Atlantic herring) is the source of this 309-nucleotide long non-coding RNA. Lineage: Eukaryota; Metazoa; Chordata; Actinopteri; Clupeiformes; Clupeidae. The record is from Ensembl.
AAAACCCCUUGUGAACACGGGGAGAACAUGCAAACUCCACACAGAAAGGCCCGGGAGAUAGCCCACCUGAGCACUGAGGUCUGGGGAGGACCUGCCCCCCAGAGCCAUCAGCGCCCCAUGCGGGAAUCGAACACAGGACCUUCUUGCUGUGAGGCGGUAGUGCAAGCACCAGGGUUACCAGGCUGCCGGCGGACCUCACUGAACAAAACGGUUUUGAAGUUGUGGUCCUGGUCGCUGUGCAGGUCCUCAGGUCGGUAUGUGCCUGAAAUGGAGCAUAUCAUGGGAACAUCCUCAACAUCCCCAUCUCCA